This 4377-nucleotide long non-coding RNA is filed under the name Capsicum annuum. Its description in RNAcentral is "long non-coding RNA (CANN_LNC013271)". The record is from RNAcentral. Lineage: Eukaryota; Viridiplantae; Streptophyta; Magnoliopsida; Solanales; Solanaceae.
ACAAUGUAGUAGAGUUUUGGUUUAGAUUUUUAAUAUUUAGGCCAAUUGGCCGAAUCAUAUCAAUAAUAUUAUGUUUUAAUAUAUUUUUUUUUCAUCUUAUUUAUCCUCUCAAUAGUUUGCAACUAUUAGCUUCCACAUGACGCCCUCUCGAUUUUGAAGUAUAAGAGUCUAUGGUUCAAUGGUUCGAUGGUUCAAACUGAAUGAGCUUUGAAGGUGCGGUAUAUAAUACUUUCAUCAAUUUCAAGUCUAUAUUGUAGAUGAAUGAGUGUUUGGCAAUCAUAUCAUUCUAAUAUAUUGCAGAAGAAUGUUCGAUUUGACUUUGAGAAUUAUUUUGUGUAAAAUGUUAGGUUUAAUUGUAUUGUUCUAAUAUCUCAAUUAUUAUAGUUUAUGUUCAAUUACUAUCUGUUGUUUUUUUACCUAAUACAAGUGGUAGAUGAAGUUCGGUCGAGCUUCAAGGAAUUUUUGUGUAAAAGUUAUGUUUAAUCAUAUUGUCAUGAUAUCUCGUUCAUUGUAUUUUUUUUGUUGUAUUUUAAAGGUGAUAGACGAAGGUUCGAGCUUUGAGUGAUUUUUUUGUAAAGGUUAGGUUUAAUCAUAUUUUUUUGUUGAAGUUUCUACUCUAUUACUAUCUGUUGUUUUUGUAUUAUUAUCCGUUAUGUGACGUUGGAAAAUAAAAUUUUAUUUACGUGACUAUCUACAAGUCUUUAAAGUCAACUGUUAUUUUUCAAUAAAUGAUUUUCUUUUAUAUAUUUUAUAUUAAUGACUCGACAUGAAGCACACAUGUAACACAUGUAUACUUGGCUAGUUAUUUUAAAAAAGAGAAAGUAAAUAAGGAAUUUACGUAAUUAUUUAAAAGAAUAGAAAUUUUAAGUAGUUAACACUUAAAUUAAAUUGUGUUAUUAAGUAAUUUUUCCAAAAAUAAAAUUAGCCCAAUCUAAUACAGCAUCCAGGCCCAUUCUCUAUUCCUAGAAAAGAGGGAUUUGUCGGAGAAGUCUACAAAUGACAAGAUUUAAUGAAUAAAACAUCUUAUUCCUAAAAAAAAAUCUAUUGUUUAGAUAUUUUUAGUUUUGGGCACUAAAUAAAUUUGUAUAUUCAAUCGAUUUGUCUAUAUAAAUGGAAAAGAUAAAUAAUUUGAACUUGCAUUCUAAUCGAGCAGGUAGAUCAUGAAAUCGAACCUCGUUGUCACUCAUUUUUCAAAAGAAAAAUAAUUUUUUUUUCAUGUGUUUGACUCAUAAAAAAAAAUUAGAUCCGCACGUGAGGAGUGUGUUGAAAAUAUAAUUGAAAUACAAGUCAAGAGACGUAAAUGAUUUCCAUCAACUGAAAAAAGUUUGUUCAAAUCCUUCAUAAAAGCAAAAACUAUUCUCACACAAGAGCAAAUUAAUCUAACUUUUGUAUUUCAACUGUUCUAUAGACUACAUCAACGAUAAAAAUUGGAUUAGUUUUGAUUGGUCUGGCGAUUCAAUUUCAAAAUUCAACCUAUUGGAGACUUAGUCAUUAUCAUUAUUUGAUUGUUCACUUUAUAUAUCAAUGAAUCGUCGUCUAAUCAUUUGCAUUGCACCUUAAAACCCCAAAACAUUCCACACUACCCAUAGAGUCUCAUGGAUUGAUAUUUGUUCUUACUUUCUUAUCAUUAUUGAAUUUGUUUUUCGGAAAAACACACACAAUUUUUUUAUAUUUAGCUAUCAAUCACAUACCAAAUUCUAACCAGUGUCUUCUAGAAAUUCCCUAGUUUUAAAUUUGGAUAAAAGAUACCAAAUAUUCUUAAAAGUAUUAAAAAGAAAUCAAGUUGAUCGAUCUUAUCCUGUUAUUGAUUUUGAACAAACACAUUACUUUUUAAAAUGUCUCAGUCGAUCCGUCACAAUCAAGUCCUAUAAAAAUAAAAUUCAUUUCAUUGUCCCCAUGACACUUUUCUUACUUACUACAACCAAAAUAUAUGCACUUUCUUUCCAUGUAAUUAUUAUCAUAUUCCUGUUUAAUUUAUACCCAGCUAGAGAGCAAUGUCAUAAAACACCAAAAAGAAACAACAGAAAAAAAAAAAAACAAAGAGAGAGAGAGAACACAGGGACAGCUGAUCACUGUAUUUGAUGAUUUUUUAAUUUCUGUGAGAGACGUAUGAAUCAUUUUCCAACCAUUUAAUUUCUUGCAUUUAAAUUUGUCAUAUCAUUAGGGCAUUUCAACAAAUUUGAUGGUCUAAAACUAGAUUUGAAUAAGAGGUUUCAAGCAUAUUCAAUAAAAUUAGUUUUUGUGUAUCAUAAGUGUAUUUUGUAUGUCAACAUACAUCUUGUGCGAAAUGCGUGCAUCUCCGACGGCAUACGUGCAUCUUAUGUGCAUUUUGUGUGCCAUACAUGCAUGUCGUUGUCAAUUAUUAAAAUUAUAUAGUAUCACAUAGAUAUUAUCGUUAAAUAUACCUGUAAGUAUAUAUACUAUCAUUGAGAACUAUCUUCGAACUUAAUUUAAUAUUCUUAAGGAAAAAAACUCUAAACAACUAACCUUACUUUUAGUAACUAUUGAAAAUGAGUCCUCAAAAAUUAUUUUAUUUUUUCCAAAAGUUUCUCUUGAAAUUUAACACUACAUAAAGAAAAUAAUUUAUAUUUUUAGAAAAAAUGAAGCCCCAAGCCAUUUAUGAUCGAACCUGACCUGUAUAUCAUUUUGGAUAGGAUGAUGAAGAUUACUCAAUGCUAUAACAAAAAUAUUUUGGCCAAUAAUUUGUGCGUCAUAUAUACGAGUGUUAUAUAAGGUACUUGUUUUCUCUCAAACACACAAAAUAAGACAAGUAUCUACUAGGUCACAAUUAAGUCUCAACCUGUUUGAGUACUACGUGCCUUGUAAAUGUGCAUUUGUCGGACCAAAAAGACACCAAACUCUAGAUGGUCAAACCAAAAAUGAUUUUUUCUUUUUGUUGUAGCUUUCUAAGUUGGUUGAUGUCAAUAUCUUCAGCUUGUUUGAUUUUUAAUUUCUCUUUAUUACAUCCUAGUUAGGUACAAAAGAUGAAGCAUUAUAUUAAUCAAUAUCCCUUUUUCCCUUUCAUAUAAUGUUAAUCUAAAAAGAUUCUAGAGACAACCUCUGAAGAGACAUGCAAAGUGCCUCUUCACCAAAAAGUAACAUAAACAAUUUUUUUUAGUACAAAAAAGUAACUUAAGCAAUGCCAUCAUGCAUGUAUUAUAUUCACUUUUAAAUUAAAAGAUCAGUUUAGGUGAAAAUUAAUCACUAAGCUUGUCAACUAGCUAAACUCAAUCAAUGAGAAUCUUCAUACUUAUCCAAUUAUCAGAUUCAGAUGUACUUUAAUUAGUUUCAAAUAGUUCAACAGAACCAAAUACUUUAUAUACGGAUCAAAGAAAUAUGAUUAAAUUUUUAAUAAAAACCAUUAAAUUUGAUUUCAUGAUUGCAAAAGUGUAAAAAAAUUAAACUCGAUCUUUAAUUUGAACUGUAAAUUCGUCUCUGUCAUUAAUAUUUCAUUUUCCUAAAACACAUAAUAUAGCACUCAUAUCAUUUUAACGUAGAUCCAACGUUGAUGUGUGUACGGCUAUAUUUUUCUAAUCAAAAGCACUUUUGUUUUUCGUUCUUUAACUAAUAUUAUAUGAUACGUUGAUUUAAUACAUUGUUAUUUCUCUGCCAACACGAUAUAUAUGGGAUAAGGUUGUCAAUAUAUUUAUAUUAUUAUUGCCAACAUCACCCACACAAGUUGAAACCAUUCACAAUGUUUUUCCAUGCUAUUAUUUCAAUUAUUAGUACUAUUUUUUUUACUAAUAUAAUCCCCGUCUCUUGGGGGUUUUCAAAAGCCAUAUAUAUACUUAGGUUAGCUUUGUAUUUGUUCUACAAAUUAUCAUUAACGUAUCUUGAAAACUAUAAAUAGCAGAGGUACUGGAGUUGAAUCAAAGAGAAAAAAUAAAUACGCGCAAAAUAGAGAGUGGAGAGAAGAAUAAAGGGAUGAUUCAAAGGUUGGAAAUGUUCAUUGGAAUGGUGAAAUUGGCGUUUGAGUUCGUUGAGGUGUUUGUGAAAGCCAUCUCGGUCGAAGAUGAAUCAUCUUCAGCCGAGAUGAACUAUGUUGCUCAAACGCCCUACAUCGGCCUACUUCCAUAAUACUGGUCCGACUUAUUCAGAUUUAGUAAAUUUUGUACGUCUUACUGAAUUCAGAAGAAACCAAGUAGCUAGCUAGCUUUCUAUAUGACUGCAGCUUAGCUUUUUUCUCCGUCACGAGGCUUUGUAAAAUGAAAAAAACAAAAGAGCUUUCUUGGGAGAGAGCUAGGUGUUAGAUUUUUUAUUUUUUUUGGUAGUUAAUUUCUUUAUUUUUCUUUUUUUGUACGUGUUGUAAUUUUUGGUUAGUUAUUUUCAUCUAAUGUGAUUUGCCGUGAACUUAUAAUAAAUAUUGGCAGCUUUGAG